This 460-nucleotide ribosomal RNA is filed under the name uncultured bacterium. RNAcentral's name for it is "partial 16S ribosomal RNA". It matches the Rfam family "Bacterial small subunit ribosomal RNA", at positions 338 to 795 of the family's 1533-position model. The record is from RNAcentral.
CCUACGGGUGGCAGCAGUGAGGAAUAUUGGUCAAUGGACGAGAGUCUGAACCAGCCAAGUAGCGUGAAGGAUGACUGCCCUAUGGGUUGUAAACUUCUUUUAUCAAGGAAUAAAACGAGGCACGUGUGCCUUUUUGCAUGUACUUUAUGAAUAAGGAUCGGCUAACUCCGUGCCAGCAGCCGCGGUAAUACGGAGGAUCCGAGCGUUAUCCGGAUUUAUUGGGUUUAAAGGGAGCGUAGAUGGGAUGUUAAGUCAGUUGUGAAAGUUUGCGGCUCAACCGUAAAAUUGCAAUUGAUACUGGCAGUCGUGAGUACAGUUGAGGUAAGCGGAAUUCGUGGUGUAGCGGUGAAAUGCUUAGAUAUCACGAAGAACCCCGAUUGCGAAGGCAGCUUACUAAACUGUGACUGACAUUGAUGCUCGAAAGUGUGGGUAUCAAACAGGAUUAGAUACCCCUGUAGUC